GAAGGCCUCUGCGGGUUUGCUUUGAGGUACUUCCUUCCUGUCAACCCUGUUCUGGAGUCUGU
Macaca mulatta (Rhesus monkey) is the source of this 62-nucleotide non-coding RNA. NCBI's taxonomy places the organism in Eukaryota, Metazoa, Chordata, Mammalia, Primates, Cercopithecidae. The record is from Rfam.